Homo sapiens (human) is the source of this 8526-nucleotide long non-coding RNA. RefSeq lists it as uncharacterized. The transcript has 2 exons. The record is from RefSeq and is a predicted model, not a curated record. Lineage: Eukaryota; Metazoa; Chordata; Mammalia; Primates; Hominidae.
GGGAUUACAGGCGUGAGCCACCAUGCCCAGCUGAUAGCUACUAGAAUUCUAAGUGGAGGUAUGAAGUAGGCAGUUUUGGGGAGAGAGGCUGGGUCUGGAGAUGUACGUGUGGGAGCUGUUAGCAGAGAAAUGGUAUUUAAAGUCUGGGUGGGGUGACUUAGGAAUGGACACAGAGCUGACUGAGCAGUCACACCCCGUUUCCCCACGAAGACCUCAGCCCAAGGCAACCACUAAUCUAUUUUCUGUCUUAAUGUUGGACACUCCAACAUUAAGGGAUGCGUAAGAAGAAGUGGAGGGGGAACCAGCAAAGGAGAUGGAGAAGUCAUGAGCAGUAAGAUAGGAUGAUUACCAAGGAGUAUAUGUCCUGGGAACCAAGUGAAAACAGUACAGCAAGUUGGGAGGGGGUGAUUGCACCAGAUGUUGCUGCCACUGGGUCAGAUAAUUAGGAAACCAAGAAUCGACUAUUGAAAGCUGGAUGCAAUGGUGCUUGUCUAUAAUUCCAGCCACUCAGGAGACUGAGAUGCAAGGAUGGCAUGAGCCCAGGAGUUCGAGGCUGCAGAGAACAAUGAUCGCUCCUGUGAAUAGCUGCUGCAUUCCAGUCUGGGCAACAUAGCCAGACCAGACCCUGUCUCUUAAAAAAACAAAAAUUGGGCUAUUGGAUUUAGCCACGUGGGGGUCAUGGGUGACCUUGACAAGAGCAGAUUUGGUAGAAGCAUGGAAUGGAUUUUUCCUAAUAUUCCUCCUCUUCAGGGGCAGACAAUAUUUAAAUGAAACCGUAUUUGGAGCACUCAUCAGGCUUUAAUAUUGAUGCUGCAUCUUCUACUGUCACAUACAUAAAGGGGACCAGGACCACUGCAUUACAGAUGUGACUAUUUCUACCUUAUAUAUGUAUGCCCUAUAUGUGUAUAUACUUUAUGUGUCUAUAUCAGCUUUAUUGAGAUAUAAUUUACAUCUCAUACAGUUCACCUAUUUAAAGUAUACAGUUCAAUGAAUUUAAUGGUUUUUAGUCUAUUCAGUGUUAUGCAACCAUCACCAUGAUUAAUUUUAUUUCUAUCACUGUUUCUUCAGCCCCAAAAGAAACCCUGUUCCCAUUAGCAGUCACUCCUCCUUUUCCCCCAAAACCCUCAGUCCUAGGCAACCACUAGUCUACUUUCUGUCUUUCUAUAUUUGCCGAUUCUGGACUCUUCAUAUACAUGGAAUCAUACGAUACGUGGUCUUUUGUGACUGGCUUCUUUCACUUAGUAUAAUGUUUUCAAGCUUCAUCCAAGCUGUAGCAUGUGGCAGUACUUCAUUCCUUUUUAGGGCCAAAUAAUAUUCCACUGUAUGUACUAAUAUAUACCACAUUUUAUUUAUUCAUUGAUUAGUUGUUGGAAAUUUAGGUUGUUUCUACUUUUUAGCUAUUAUGAAUAAUGCUGCUAUGAACAUUUCUGUACACAUUGUUGUAUGGGUAUAUUUCUUCUGGGGUUAUACUUAGGAAUGGAAUUAGAAUGCAGUAGCAUGAUCUCAGCUCACUGCAACCUCCACCUCCCGGGUUCAAGUUGUUCUUGUGCCUCAGCCCCCCAAGUAGCUGGGAUCACAGGCACUGUGCCUCCACGCCUGGCUAAUUUUUUGUAUUUUUAGUAGAGAUAGAGUUUCAUUAUGUUGGCCAUGCUGGUCUCGAACUCCUACCCUCAGGUGAUCUGCCCGCCUCGGCCUCCCAUGGUGCUGGGAUUACAGGCGUGAGCCACCACCCCUGGCCACAGACUGGCUUCCUUCCUUCCCUCCGUCCGUCCUUCCUUCCUUCCUUCCUUCCUUCCUUCCUUCCUUCCUUCCUUCCUUCCUUUCCUCCCUUUCUUUUUCUUUUUCUAUUUCUCUUUCUCUCUCUCUUUCUUCCCUCCUCUCCCCUCCCCUCCUGUCCUCUUCUCUCUUUCUGACAGAGUUUCACUCUUGUCACCCAGGCUGGAGUGCAAUGGCGCAAUCUCGGCUCACUGCAGCCUCCACCUCAUUUGUUCUCAUGUCUUAGCCACUCGAGUAGCUGGGAUUACAGGCACCUGCCACCAGGCCUGGCUAAUUGUUUUUUUAGUAGAGACAGGAUUUCGCCAUGUUGGCCAGGCUGGUCUCAAACUCCUGACCUCAAGUCACCUCAGCCUCCCAAAGUGCUGGGAUUACAGGCAUGAGCCACCACACCCAGCCUUCUUCAUUCUUUUUUUUUUUGAGGUGGAGUUUUGCUCUUGUUGCCCAGGCUGGAGUGCAAUGGCACAAUCUCGACUUACUGCAACCUGCACCUCCCAGGUUCAAGCGAUUCUCCUGCCUCAGCCUCCCGAGUAGCUGGCAUUACAGGCAUGCCCCACCACUGGGUGAAAAAUGCCCAGCUAAUUUUGUAUUUUUAGUAGAGAUGGGGUUUCUCCAUGUUGGUCAGGCUGGUCUCGAACUCUCGACCUCAGGUGAUCUGCCCACCUCAGCCUCCCAGAGUGCUGGGAUUACAGGCAUGAGCCACUGCGCUCGGCCCAUCAUUCUUAAUAAUAUUCCCAAAUGGUGUAUAGAUAAAUACUGCCACAAUUUCAGGACUAGAGGUUAAAAAAAAAAAAAGGACAAAGUUGGACAGUAGAGCUGAGAGCACAAAUUGUCCCCUUUUUUUCCCAGGUCCUUAGGUUCGUAGACCUGUGUCAGCCAUAAUUACUGCUGAAUGUGACUCCUGUGUAUACGGUCAUUUUUAUUUUUUCUGUUCCUGGAGGUAAUGCAAUAAGUCACCUCAAAAAGGGCAGAGAAUGAGGGAGAGAAUCUACCUGCAUUGGCGUAUUGAAAAGAUCAGAUUAUUUCAGAAUCCAGAUCAUUGUUUACUUUUAGCUGCAUAAAAAUAUCCAAGUAGAUUUUCUUAUAACCUCUCCAAGAUAAAGAUGCCAGAAACGGCAGCCAAAUACAUUGACUUUGAGAGAGGAAAAAAAAAAAGCUUGUAAUUGCCGAUCACUCCUUAGAUUUACUUCUGGGGAGCAUCAAUUAAAAAUCUCAAAACACGUGGCUUUUUCAGUAAAAUUAUAUUAAUAUGGAGGAAGAGUUUUUAUUAAAUAUGAGUGCACGUGUGUCUGUGUCUGUGUGUGUUUUAAACGUUUCCAUAAUGAGUUCCCAAGUGCUUUUUUGGCAGUAGUUAUUAAAGCUUGUGUGUUUGCGAUUUAUCUGGCAAAAUGCCUUUAGUGAAGAAAGGAUAUAGUGUUCUCUUGGUUCUUUGCCCAAAGUAAUUUUGGAGAAAUCUGUGACUGUAUUUAGUUCAUGUCAUUCAUUGGAGACAAGUCAUUGUAAUUACAUUUGAUCACAAUCAGUUUACAGUUGUUUUAUCAUGUUUUCAUGCUGAAUAUCUACUCAGACAUCAUAGCAAAAUUUAAUGGCUACUGUUUUAUUUGUACAUAAAAAGAUUUAUAGCCCUUUUUUGCAGUACACAUCGGGUUUCAAUCAUCACUGCUACAGAGUGAGAGGAAAGCUAUGGAUAAAGAACUAUCAGAAAUCCUUGACUACAUAAAAUUUUAUUUCAGGUCACCUUGCCAUAAAAGAUAUUGAAUGUAUUUUGUGGCUUUUCCUCCUGACAUGCUAACCGUUGUAGAAGAGUUGCAAUAUUUGGAGGAAACCGUAUGAAAUGUGGAACUUAAUUCACUUAAGAUGGUUUACAUUUGCGCGUGUUUUCCACUGGAAAUAGCCAUGCCAGCCUUAUGAAUGGCCCCUGGGUAAUGCAGAGUAAAAGGCAAUGGCAUUACCGAUAUUGUUGAGUUUUAAAAGGAAGUUGUCUUCUUAACCAUACGGCUGAACAUUUUGUCAUUGUUGUUUCAGAAGGUCUGCUCUAACAUCUGCACUGCGGCAGAGUUGUGUUACAGGGUGUUAUUUACAGCUGCCAAAUGCUGGAGGCUCUCAUGUAUCAGACAGUCUCUGAUUUGCUAAUUGUGGAAGCCUUGAUUCACCAGUGAAUUUGGGUAAAUUCACUAGUUAUCUCCUAAGUGUCACUUCUCACCAUGCCUUAUUUUUCCCAAAAGGUUGAUUCCAAGCUCUGCUGAAAUCUGCUCUUGGUCUAUAUGUUUGAGUCUACAUUGUUGAAGAAGCUCCCUUUAGAAAAGUGUAAUUAAUGGGAAACUUUGACAUCCAGCUGAGAAAAUUAGUUUGCAUCAAAAAAGGCAAGAUAGAGGAUUAAAGAAAUUUUAGUCCUAAUCUAAUUAACACCAAUUAAAAGAUGCAGAUGAAUUUACACCAACAAAUUGUUAAUUAUGCACCAAUUUGCCUUUUUUCUGCAACCAAACUGAAAUCAGGAAAGUAUUAUUAUCUUUUUUGUUUGAGGAGACUUACAUUGUGGGUUUGUUACAAUCAUCUUUUAUAUAAUUAAAAGGUAGGCAGAAAGAGCGUGAAAUAUUUCAGUCUCCUGACAUUUUAAUUUAGGUUAACUCUUUAAAAAUACAAAGUACAGAAAAAAAAAAUUCCAGAAAGUACAGGAUAAUUCUAUUAGCAUUUAUUCACUGACUAGAUAUUUAUUGAGGACCUAGUAUGUGCUGGACACUUAGGUAACCAUUGUUUCUCUCACUCAAAAUAUUUUAACUUGUUUGUAUUUCUAAUAUAUUGCUCAUUAGAAAAAUUGUAUACGCCAGGCGUGGAGGCUCAUGUCUGUAAUCCCAGCAUUUUGGGAGGCCGAGGCGGGCAGAUCACGAGGUCAGGAGAUUGAGAUCAUCCUGGCUAACACGGUGAAACCCUGUCUCUACUAAAAAUACAAAAAAUUAGCCGGGUGUGGUGGCGGGCGCCUGUGGUCCCAGCUACUUGGGAGGCUGAGGCAGGAGAAUGGCGUGAACCCGGGAGGUGGAGGUUGCAGUAAGCCAAGAUUGCGCCACAGCACUCCAGCCUGGGCGACAGAGCGAGACUCCGACUCAAAAAAAAAAAAAAAGAAAAGAAAAAGAAAAAUAGUAUAAGCUAAUUGUACCAAAAUUGUAUAAGCUAAUUAAAUUCUGCCCUGGAUACAUGUCAGAAAAGGAGAAUCGAAAUUUUGGGCCUCAAGAAAUGCUCUUAAUGUCCCAGAACUCCUCUUUAAUGUGACCUUUUAGGGUAUUCAGCGUCCAUCUUCCUCACCCGGGGAAUCUGUGUUUGUUUCCCAGUGUUACUCAGAUCUCCACUGUGCUGGGACUUUCUUUUUCCUUGUGAAUCACUCUUACAGCUCCUCAGAUGGUGAUCUGAGUAAUUAUGUAGAGGGUGGUGAAGCACAGACCUUUUAGAUCUGCAAAUGACACAUCUGUCCAAAUGUCAUGUAAUGAGUAACCACAAUCCACUUUAUAUAAGCCAUAUUUCUUCUCUUUCCAAAAUGGGAAGGAGAGGGUGGGGGGGGAAAUGUCUGGUAGAAAUGGGAAGAAAAGCAUUUCUAUGGAUUCCUCUAGCCAUUAAUUACAUAGAAAAUGCCACAGCUGCCCUCAGAUUUCCAGGUGCACGUUAUUAAACGUCAUUCAAAGGAAAUGUUUGGCCAACUAGAUCCUGAUGUGAGAAACAGCAUCCUAAAGAGCUAUGUAUGUUACUGUCUAAUGCAUGUACUUAGGCAUUAAAUAAUAUUAAAUGACCAUAUUACCUUCUUGGGGCAAUAGUUAAUAUAAACAUUUAGGAUGCUCAGUUUGUACUUUUCAGUAUUUGUGCUGGAAACUUUUGCAUUCACAACUUUGAAAACUGGCUCGUGUUUUCAUGGGAAGUGUCAGUUUAAAGUUGGCCUACUAAUUAAUGGGGGAAUUUCAAUAUGGCAGUGCCUAUGACAGCAAAUGAAAAGCAUUCUUUAUAAACAUCGUCUUCCUCCACACAUUCACAGGUUAGUAUCUGACACCCAUUUUUAAUUUCUAGAGCACCAUUUGUACUUCUCUGUGGUUUUGCCUGCAAGUCUUCGAUGAUGCAGUCCACCCUUCCAUAAAAACGUACUCCAAUUUUCCUAGAUUCUACUUUCAUUGUUUUGUGAAUCAAGUUAGAAGGUACAUAACUUAGCCUGAUGAGAUGGCAUUCAUAAGGUUAGGAUAGCAGAGUUGCCUAACUAAUCUUCCUGUUGCAAUGAAAUAAAAGAAUGAUAUCUAAGUUGACCAACCUUGUAAAAGGUAAUUUUACAAGAGGCCUCCAAAAAUAACGGACUAGGACUGGCCAGAGAAGAAAAUAAACCCCUCAUCCUCAAUCCAGAACCCAGAGUUUGUCAUCACUAGUCGAAAAGCUUGUUUGUUUUAUACCUAAGUGAGACCUUGAGUUAUCCAAUGUGCUUCCAUCACAGAAUGGCCCACCAGGGUAGAAGGAUUCUGAGUGUAUUCCCUGAUGCUGUUGCCAUGUGCCUAUGGAAUACCUAUGCUCCAUAUUUAGCCCUCUUUCUGUGUAGUAGCAGAGACGUGGAUGGCUGCUGAAACUAAGGGCCCAGUCUUUGGCCUUAGGACAGACCACUGGGUUUCUCCCACUGCCUAAAACCUUAGUAGCAUUAGCAUCAGACAUGGACCCAAUAAACAAACUACCUAGUUGAUAAGCGCCGCAUUUUUCAUGAUGUUUUACUGUGGCCUAUCCACACACUCUUUCCUAUUCCAUGAAAGGAAGAAAAAGAUAAUUUGAGUUGUCCUAUAAAUUAAAAUUUUUCCUUUGUGAUUAUUUUGGACCAGCGCCAUAACAUUCAGAAGAUUAUGAGUGGAGUCUUUAGUCUGUGAACAAAGUCCUAAGAAGGAAGUAGUGCUGUAACUUACUUCAUCUAAAGAAGCAUCAUCGCUGAAUGUAAAGAGUGAUUCUGGAUUGGAUCUUAAGCCGGAAAAAUAAAUGGAGAUAAAUGUACAAACUUGGCAUUACUCUUUAAGAAUAACAAGUGAACUGGAAAUGAGAGGGUGGUGACAUGAAGAGAGAGAGAAGAAAUACAUUCCUUAUAUCUCUUCCAGCUCCUGCAUGGAAUGGAGGAUCUGACAGUGGCCGUUCCUGGGUAUUAAAGCCAGUGCAAAAGAUAGAGCGUCCAAAAGGCAACUUCUUCCUUAUUUGUGAAGUCAGAAAGUAAAAUUUACAUUGAAGUGCUAAGCUACAUUAUUCUGAAUAUUUUGGCAGUCAUAUUUGGGCAGAUGAGUUGCUUUCCUGAAAUUACUCAGCACCGUCAUUCAUCCUGACAAAAGCUAGUGGUACAGAUGCACCUUUGGGACUGAGGCCAAGGUGAAACCUGCGUUUUCCAGGUCUGCCCACUCAGUUUUGGAAGGACUCUCAAUAAAACCGGCCUCACACCCCAAGCAUCACCCCUCCUGUCCUUAGUAAGUACACUCUGGCUGGAAUCUAGGGUCCCAGCAUCUAGCCCUUGGGACUUCACAUAAAUUCAUCAAGUAUCUUCCUCCACUCAAAAAUCUCUUACAGAAUCUUUGACAUUUUAAGCUUCAUUACUGCAAAGUGGAUAUAGUUCAUUCUCAGCUUCAGGAUUCCAGAAGCAUACAUACCAGGUCAGAAUGGAGAGGCAUCACGCUUUCCUUCAGCAAGCUUCAGGGGAGACAGGAUUUAGGGUGGGCUACACAUAUACCAGUUGUAGGAUGUUUUGAACUAUAUUCUUGCAAUCACAGACAGGUUGUCCCAGAGAAAAUAAUCUGGCUCUAACUUCUCUUGUUAUCAGUGAAAAGCAAAAAUUACUUAGUGCAGGUAUGCUUAAAGGAAGAAAAAGGCAAGAGAAAAGUGAGAGGUAAAAAUUAUUACCAUUUUAAUUCCAUGAUUCUCAGCAAUGAAGGAGCAUGAUUGAAAUCCCAUGUGCCCAGUCAUAUCUGUAAAUGAGAGUAUGAUUUUUGAAGACUGUAUUCAAUUGUUUCAACUUGAGCAAUUGCAAGUAAGACUUAGGACUGUGUUUACCAGUUACUGUUAUUUACUAUUACUUUCUAAAUGUGACCUGACUUGAAACCUUUAUAGAUGCAAUUUUUAUCCAUCACAGAACAAGCUCUAAAGAGGAGAGCAGCUUCAACUUUUUCAAGUAUUUUUUUUAAAAGGAUUUAACUUUGACCAACACCAAACUUGCAUCUUGUUAAGGUAACUAAUAACUGACUGCUAUAACAAUAUUUAGAAUUUUGUUUAACAGCAACUGUCAAAAAAACAAGUUAAAAUAGCCCAGGAGAUGGAUGGCGAUUAACUCUGCGUUCUUUUUAGACUGUGUUAUUAAUUAGCUCUCUAGACUCAAAUAGGUUACAUCCUCUGAGCAGUAAAUUGCAUGCCAUUUGCAAGCUCUGUGGAUGAAAUUUACAUGUGGCCUAAAUGCUAUCCACAUUGUUUUGUUAAGUAGCAUUUUAUCUCUCUGGACUGGUCCCUUGCCUCCUCCCCCAGCCCCAGUGGAAAGUUUUAUUCACUUUUCUUGCGGGAAGGGAAAGUCGCAUGUAGUUUGGUCAUUUGGCGCCAUCUUCUUUUUUAUUGUUAAAUCCACUAAAGGCAGUCAUGCCUGGCAGUACCAGGCGGGCUCCUUCCGGGGUUCUGGUCGGCUAAGCAUUCAGAGUUCUUUGCUUUUUAUUUACUAGAAAUGUUUUCAGCUUCUGUCUUUGCUUUAAGAUCUGAUUAAAAGGAACCUUAAAAAAGGAA